Molecule: long non-coding RNA, 1900 nt
Organism: Lates calcarifer (barramundi perch)
Lineage: Eukaryota; Metazoa; Chordata; Actinopteri; Centropomidae
Exons: 3
Source: RefSeq, a predicted model, not a curated record
UUCAGCCCCAGCAUACCCCCCCACCCACCUCGUAACCUCAGCCAGAAUACCUUCACUUCUGUGUAUACAGCACCACAGGCAGGCUUGCCAGCUGUUUACACAUGCGCACACAUACUCAGACACACACACACACACUCUUACACAUACUUAAAAAACACAAAUAUGCAGCCGGCUUUCUCUGCUACACACACAGACAAACACUCAGACACAGAACACAUCUAUAUAAACUCAGGCUCCAUGAAAACAUAUUCAUAUUUUUGCAAAUGUAGUCACACAAAUAGACUCUUCCACUCAUACUGUACACACACACACACCAUGUGAUUUGGCCUGGGCCUGUUCCGUCUGUUGGCGAGUUAGAGGAACGGAAUGUGUAAGAAACGGUGCCCACACAUCGAGCAACCGCCCAACACUUGAGUUGGCAUCGCACACACAGCGGGGAAGUGCAGCGACUGAACAGCAGGAGAGGCGUGGGUGUAAAAGGGACCACAUUCCCAGUGGGGACAGUUAAGUCCCUCACAAGGGGAAGCAAUCAGACCCAAACCUCCAAAUGAUGAGUGUCGUCUUCCUCCCUCCCCAUCCGGCCGGAGCCUGCAAGUGGUGGUUGGUUUUGUCCCAUCCUCGCCACCGCACUUUGGGCUGGGGUUCCCCACUGAGAACCCACACGCCUGUGCUGGAAGGGCAGGGAUAAUGAGACACUAUGGGGACAACAAAGGCAUCUGCCCCUGCUCUUAGUCAUAUUGCAAAAGCCAUACAUCAGCCACUGCUGGGCCAGCGCCUCGCCCUGCCCAGCUCCUUUCCGCCUCGCAACAUGACUACAAAGCCAUGGGCUAAAUGACAGGAGUGGAGACGAUGCACAGCAUGACGGGGAAAGAAGAGAGGAGAGGUGGAUAUUUAACAUGGAAGUAUUAAAAAGAACAUAAGCAGAAAUAAGGGCACAGUCAAAAGCUCUCUGGUGAAUUAAAACAUUCAGCUGUAUCAAUGGGUGCCUCGCUAUGAAACUAGGAGAGGGUGUGGAUGUCAUGGCUGGUUGCCAAGUUGGAAGCUUCAGGGCUUCCUAGUAGGGCACAAAUUGUCACAUGCACCAGUGGCCAAACCCAAACCACCAUGACCAAGGGUGGAAGUGACAUCAUUCUCUAUGGCUUGGCAGGCAGGGAUGAUGGCAUUAUAAUAGCGAUGGCGUCGUGCUGGAGGACCGAGCCAAGAAUUGGUUAACCACUGAGGAAAAGACAUGGGGGCGCAAUGAAAGACAAGAAAGGAAAGGGAGGAUUUGUCUUGUUUGUCAGGUGAAGGUUAAUUGAUCUUGUUUUAGCCUUGCUAACAGCAUGGCUUCAUUGGUGGUGAUGUCGGUCGGUCAGUCAGGAGACCCCUUUGGUCCAGACUGAAUUAUCUCAGUCAUUAUAACAUGGAUUGCUAUGAAAAUUGAUCCAGAUAUCCAUGAUCUCCAGAGGAUGAAUCCUACUGACUUUUCCUGUAGUGAUCCCAAGAAGUCAGACUUUUCACUUAACUUGAAGUAUCUCAACAUCUACAGGAUGGAUUGGCACAAAUAUUUCUCCAGAUAUUCAUGGCUAUCAGAAGAUGGUUAUGGUUAUGGUUUGCUGAUCACCUGACUUUUCCUCUGAUCCAACCACGAGGUUAACAAUUUUGGUUUUGAAUGAAAUGUCUCAACAGCUAUUGGGUGGAUUGCUAACCAGUUUGGUUCAGACAUUUCCCCUCAGAGGAGUGGCAUGGUGGUGCAGGGGUUUGAACCUAUUUCUGUGUGGCUUAUGCAUGUCCUCCCUGUGCCUGCAUGGACUCCAAAGGGGUUAACUGGUGACUCCAAAUUGCCCAUAGGUGUUUGUCCCUAUAUGUUAGCAAUCUGACAUUAGCAUUGAGCUUAAAGCACCACUAUGUCUAAAUACAU